UUCCUCGAUAGCUCAGUCGGUAGAGCACGCGGCUGUUAACCGCGCUGUCGUAGGUUCGAGUCCUACUCGGGGAGU
RNAcentral lists this transfer RNA (75 nucleotides) under Roseburia hominis. RNAcentral describes it as "tRNA-Asn(gtt)". It matches the Rfam family "tRNA". Rfam says of the family: Transfer RNA (tRNA) molecules are approximately 80 nucleotides in length. Their secondary structure includes four short double-helical elements and three loops (D, anti-codon, and T loops). Lineage: Bacteria; Bacillati; Bacillota; Clostridia; Lachnospirales; Lachnospiraceae. The record is from RNAcentral. RNAcentral also lists the same sequence under 2 other names.